AUGGGUGGAACCACAGACUCAAACCCCACUGGGCAAGCCCGGACCGUGAGGUGGAUUCUGUUGCUGUGGUGCCUGACAGCUGUGAGACUAGCUACCGGAACAGAGGAUGGAAUGACCGAGACCAAUAAAGACAGUCUCGAUGUGCAGAUCCUAGGCCCAGGCUACGUGACAGUCGGCGUGCCUUCCAGCUUCGAGUGCGAAGCCAACUGCAACUCCAAGCCGUGCCAAUACUUGUCCAUGUCCAUGGACAAACAGGCAUCUGUUGGCCAUGGCAACGUACUUGCCUUCACGCUUUCCCAGUGGGUAGAGGCGCUGUCCCUGACUUGCACUGCCAAUGAUGAACAGACGGGGGCAACAAAGACUGUGACAAAGAAACUGCAGGCGUUAGCUGGACCGUCAAACGUCUCGAUCUCAGGGCCUGACUUGAUGACCCCCCUGGCUAGCCACGGCUACACUUGUCAUUCCUACUGCCGGCCUUCGUGCGAAUACACCUGGCGGGUUGACGACGGCCCCUGGGUGGCCGGCCAGGGGAACGUCAUCGGCGUCAUUCCCCAGCACCUCGACACGGCUAAAACCCUCAUGUGCAGAGCCACCAACACGGUGUCCGGCCUCUUUGCGGCCAAGAUCCAAGACAUCGCCGUAUCAUCCGGUCCCUCGGAUGUCACGGUCGUUCAGCCACGGAAGACCGUUUCCCUGAAAUGCGAGGCGCAGAACACAGUGACCAGGAAGUCCGACACGGUGUUGCUAACCGUUUUUCUCGGAGAUCACUCGAUGGCCACUCGUGCUGAGGAGAGGUCAGCUCUGCUCCUAUGCGGCCUCAUCGUCUCGGCUGGGAUUCUCAUUUGAUCCACACGAGGGAGACAUUUUAUAGGAUGUAAAGACUAUUUUUUUUUAAGUACUUUUAAAGCUUUCUACUACAAGUGCACUCAUAAAGUAAUUAUAAAUAGGCUUUCUACCAAGUCAUUAAGAUGUCGUAUGUGAAACACAUUACAUUUAGUUAAAAUAGAAAAUUCAUGACAGCCUUUUUCAUUAAUUACUAGGCCAAUAGGAUGAUAUAAAUAGCCUGAUCAAAAUACUUAAAUUACUAAUGUUUCACUAUCUAUAUGUAUCAUGUUUUAAUAAAAACAAUAAUAUAGAGCUUGUUUAAAAAUAUAGAGGUGAUUAUAAAAUGAUAUACAAUUCUAUUUCAAACAUUAUGCAAUGAUGUUUUUAUUUUACCUAAGCUAAACUCGUGCUGAAAUAUAAUUUAUUUGUAUGUGAAUACGUUUUUUCCUCAUUAUUGCAGUCAUUGCUUGCUGCUCAUCAUGUUUCAAGUUAAAGCACUUAAUAACCAAUAAUAACCACAAACAAUACCUAACAAACAACACUUAAAACUCUUUGUUGAACACUUGUAUGAGCCUUGUGAUGAGUAUUGUUGAGGAACACACUUUCUUGGUGGGAUGCUAUAUAUGCUACAUAUAAAUUAUGUAUCCCCUCAGUUGCAGACAAUUUGGAUGAUUGUACUGUUGAAAUCAUUAAAUUGCAUUACGUGUAUGAUUCAAUACCUUUCAUGUGUUUGGAACAUCAUACUGGAACAUCAUCAUUUCAAUAAUAAAUAUAGAAAUUGAUUUGCAAAAAGUGGUUUGGAGUGACAUCUUUUCUUUGCAUUUGUCUUGCAUAAUUUUGGAUAUAUAUUAACAGACGUUAAAGUUCUGACAGGUAAUUGUCACAUUCUAUAAGGAAAAUCCC
This 1728-nucleotide long non-coding RNA is filed under the name Gadus morhua (Atlantic cod). RNAcentral describes it as "lncRNA (ENSGMOG00000027612.1)". The record is from RNAcentral. Lineage: Eukaryota; Metazoa; Chordata; Actinopteri; Gadiformes; Gadidae.